UAGGGAAUCUUCGGCAAUGGGGGGAACCCUGACCGAGCAACGCCGCGUGAGUGAAGAAGGUUUUCGGAUCGUAAAGCUCUGUUGUUAAGGAAGAACGAGUGUGAGAAUGGAAAGUUCAUACUGUGACGGUACUUAACCAGAAAGGGACGGCUAACUACGUGCCAGCAGCCGCGGUAAUACGUAGGUCCCGAGCGUUGUCCGGAUUUAUUGGGCGUAAAGCGAGCGCAGGCGGUUAGAUAAGUCUGAAGUUAAAGGCAGUGGCUCAACCAUUGUAGGCUUUGGAAACUGUUUAACUUGAGUGCAGAAGGGGAGAGUGGAAUUCCAUGUUUAGCGGUGAAAUGCGUAGAUAUAUGGAGGAACACCGGUGGCGAAAGCGGCUCUCUGGUCUGUAACUGGCGCUGAGGCUCGAAAGCGUGGGGAGCGAACAGG
This 429-nucleotide ribosomal RNA is filed under the name Bacteroidota bacterium. Its description in RNAcentral is "Bacteroidetes bacterium partial 16S ribosomal RNA". It matches the Rfam family "Bacterial small subunit ribosomal RNA", at positions 355 to 776 of the family's 1533-position model. Lineage: Bacteria; Pseudomonadati; Bacteroidota. The record is from RNAcentral.